This 666-nucleotide long non-coding RNA is filed under the name Gallus gallus (chicken). RNAcentral's name for it is "lncRNA (ENSGALG00010003513.1)". Lineage: Eukaryota; Metazoa; Chordata; Aves; Galliformes; Phasianidae. The record is from RNAcentral.
CUCUGGGCCCGGCCCUCCAGCCAGUUCCUUACCCAGCAAAGAAUGUGUCUGUCCAAGCCACGAUCUGCCAGCUUCUGGAGGAGAAUACUGUGCGAGACAGUGUCAAAGGCUUUGCUGAAGUCUAGGUAGACCACAUCAACAGCCUUUCCCUCAUCCAGCAGACGGGUCACUGGAUCAUAGAAGGAGAUCAGACAAUCUGCUCCAUAAUCUUCCCCGGCACCGAGGUCAGGCUAACAGGCCUGUAGUUCCCCGGAUCCUCCCUGCAGCCCUUCUUGUAGAUGGGAUUCACAUUGGCAAGCCUCCAGACUUCUGGGACCUCACCCGUCAACAAGGAGCGCUGAUAGAUGAUGGAAAGCGGCUCGGCUAUCACCUCUGCCAGUUCUCUCAGCGCUCUCGGGUGAAUCUCAUCCGGUCCCAUGGACUUGUGGCAGUCCAGUUGGAGUAGCAGGUCUCUAACUGUUACCUCCUGAAUCGUGGGGGGUUUAGCAGAGCUGAGGUGCUGCUCGUAGCCGCUGCCCUCGGGAUCAUUCCCCGUCCGGUGGGGAUCAGUGGUGAUCCUUCCCACCCUUGGGGUCUCUGUGCCUCUCUGCACCCAACCUAUCCUUGCUGGGAGGAGUGUUCCGUGCCCCCCACACCGGUGGUGCUCCCAUCGCGGCCCUCGACCGC